This 497-nucleotide ribosomal RNA is filed under the name uncultured bacterium. RNAcentral describes it as "partial 16S ribosomal RNA". It matches the Rfam family "Bacterial small subunit ribosomal RNA", at positions 28 to 507 of the family's 1533-position model. The record is from RNAcentral.
GAUGAACGCUGGCGGCGUGCCUAAUACAUGCAAGUCGAGCGAACGGACGAGUAGCGUGCUCCACUAAUGUCGGCGGGGUGCGUAUUACAACCACACGUUCCCCCUCCUUGUAGAUAAGGAAUCGCUAGGGUUACCAGUACCUAAUACGGUCUACUAUUUUAAACCGCAUGCUUCAAAGGCGAACGCGGGCCUUGCUGCCGCUGAUAGAUGAGUCCGCGCUGCAUUAGCUAGUUGGUCAGGUAACGGCUUACCAAGGCAACGAUGCGUAGCCGGCCUGAGAGGGUGAUCGGCCACACUGGAACUGAGACACGGUCCAGACUCCUACGGGAGGCAGCAGUAGGGAAUCUUCCGCAAUGGGCGAAAGCCUGAUGGAGCAACGCCGCGUGAAUGAUGAAGGUCUUCGGAUCGUAAAACUCUGUUAUUAGGGAAGAAAAUAUGUGUAAGUAUCUGUGAGCAUCUUGACGGUACCGAAUCAGAAAGCAACGGCUAACUACGUG